UCUGAACCUUCGGGGAACGAUAACGGCGUCGAGCGGCGGACGGGUGAGUAAUGCCUAGGAAAUUGCCCUGAUGUGGGGGAUAACCAUUGGAAACGAUGGCUAAUACCGCAUGAUGCCUACGGGCCAAAGAGGGGGACCUUCGGGCCUCUCGCGUCAGGAUAUGCCUAGGUGGGAUUAGCUAGUUGGUGAGGUAAGGGCUCACCAAGGCAACGAUCCCUAGCUGGUCUGAGAGGAUGAUCAGCCACACUGGAACUGAGACACGGUCCAGACUCCUACGGGAGGCAGCAGUGGGGAAUAUUGCACAAUGGGCGCAAGCCUGAUGCAGCCAUGCCGCGUGUAUGAAGAAGGCCUUCGGGUUGUAAAGUACUUUCAGUCGUGAGGAAGGCGGCGUCGUUAAUAGCGGCGUUGUUUGACGUUAGCGACAGAAGAAGCACCGGCUAACUCCGUGCCAGCAGCCGCGGUAAUACGGAGGGUGCGAGCGUUAAUCGGAAUUACUGGGCGUAAAGCGCAUGCAGGUGGUUUGUUAAGUCAGAUGUGAAAGCCCGGGGCUCAACCUCGGAAUAGCAUUUGAAACUGGCAGACUAGAGUACUGUAGAGGGGGGUAGAAUUUCAGGUGUAGCGGUGAAAUGCGUAGAGAUC
This 639-nucleotide ribosomal RNA is filed under the name Vibrio antiquarius. RNAcentral describes it as "bacterial SSU rRNA". It matches the Rfam family "Bacterial small subunit ribosomal RNA", at positions 66 to 698 of the family's 1533-position model. Lineage: Bacteria; Pseudomonadati; Pseudomonadota; Gammaproteobacteria; Vibrionales; Vibrionaceae. The record is from RNAcentral.